UUUAAAAACCCCACUUUUUAAGUUGGGGCGACUACGGAAAUAAAAAAAACCUCCACGACAGGACUGACAAUCCAAAAAAGGAAUCACACACCAACUAAGCUGACCAACGAACCAAGUUACCCCAGGGAUAACAGCGCCAUCCUCUUCAAGAGCCCCUAUCGCCAAGAGGGUUUACGACCUCGAUGUUGGAUCAGGACCCCCUAGUGGCGCAGCCGCUACUAAAGGCUCGUUUGUUCAACGACUAACGUCCUACGUGAUCUGAGUUCAGACCGGAGUAAUCCAGGUC
This 286-nucleotide ribosomal RNA is filed under the name Coleodactylus meridionalis. Its description in RNAcentral is "partial 16S ribosomal RNA". It matches the Rfam family "Bacterial large subunit ribosomal RNA", at positions 2100 to 2632 of the family's 2925-position model. Lineage: Eukaryota; Metazoa; Chordata; Lepidosauria; Squamata; Sphaerodactylidae. The record is from RNAcentral.